Molecule: ribosomal RNA, 421 nt
Filed under: uncultured eukaryote
Lineage: Eukaryota
Description: bacterial SSU rRNA
Rfam family: Eukaryotic small subunit ribosomal RNA
Source: RNAcentral
CAAUAGCGUAUAUUAAAGUUGUUGCGGUUAAAAAGCUCGUAGUUGGAUUUCUGCCGAGGACGACCGGUCCGCCCUCUGGGUGAGUAUCUGGCUUGGCCUGGGCAUCUUCUUGGAGAACGUAGCUGCACUUGACUGUGUGGUGCGGUAUCCAGGACUUUUACUUUGAGGAAAUUAGAGUGUUUAAAGCAGGCUUAAGCCGUUGAAUACAUUAGCAUGGAAUAAUAAGAUAAGACUUGGGUCAUUAUUUUGUUGGUUUGCGGAUCGAGGUAAUGAUUAAUAGGGAUAGUUGGGGGUAGUUCAUAUUUCGUUGUCAGAGGUGAAAUUGCUUGGAUUUUCCGAAAGACGAACUACUGCGAAAGCAUUUACCAAGGAUGUUUUCAUUAAUCAAGAACGAAAGUUAGGGGAUCGAAGAUGAUUAGAU